Dicentrarchus labrax (European seabass) is the source of this 602-nucleotide long non-coding RNA. RefSeq lists it as uncharacterized. Lineage: Eukaryota; Metazoa; Chordata; Actinopteri; Moronidae. The record is from RefSeq and is a predicted model, not a curated record. The transcript is spliced from 5 exons.
GACACGCCCCCAACGUCUCCGAGCAACAGUGCCAAUUUUUCCGAUUUAUUUUUGUUAAUAAUACUUUUUUCUUUGGCGUGAGAAACUCAGAAAAUCAUAUUUAUUUUGACUUUACACGGACUUUACAGUGAGUCAUCCACCGAAGGUCAGCAAAUGGUGACCCUGUUUACGGAGCUUUCGUGCCCACCAAGGGGUUCUCGAUCGCGGCUUCCACUCCAGCCCCUGUGGUUCAGCGGUCUGCACGGCGGGACCAGAGGGCAGCUGCAUCAAGACUUGCAUCAGGCCAGCCAUGCUAAAAGUUAUUAGACAUGUAGAGAGGAGACCAGAAGAAACAGAGUGGGGGAAUCGAACCCGGGCUGCUGCACUAAGGACUCGGCCUACAUGGGACACGCUCUACCAGGUGAUGCUGACGUGCGUGGCCAAUCGGAUCAAGCGAAUGCACUGAUUUUGACUUGAGGGAAGAGCUACAGUUACUCAUGCGGAUGGACGGAUGCCAUACUGAGAGAGCUGGCUGGUGGAGGCGGGUGUCCUGCAUGCCAUUAACCAAUUAACCAGAGAGAGAGACAGAGAGAGAGACAGAGAGAGAAAGAGCCUGUUACAGG